This is a long non-coding RNA of Stegostoma tigrinum, 720 nucleotides long. RefSeq lists it as uncharacterized. The transcript is spliced from 4 exons. The record is from RefSeq and is a predicted model, not a curated record. NCBI's taxonomy places the organism in Eukaryota, Metazoa, Chordata, Chondrichthyes, Orectolobiformes, Stegostomatidae.
CAUGACUGUUGAAUGGUUCGUUGAGAGUGAGGAACCUAUGGACUCUCACACACCAAGAUGGAAUUGAGUUCGAAGAGUGACUUCAAAAUAGUUGCUUGCUUUUAAAAUCUUGACCGUUUUUGCUGUCCAGUUGAAUGAAUUUAGCUUCAUACUGCUUCACUAGGAAUUAGCGUUUCAUAGGAACAUAUUUGUGAAACGUACAGUUCCGUAAGUUUUAGCAUAAACUGGUGCAGCCUUUCGGUGCUUGCAAAAAGGCUCAUCUCUCCAUUAAUACCGAAGGAAAAUUGGAGUUUAAAAGUUGGUCCGAUCUUCGUUCGAGAAGGAAAAGGGAUGUUCCAGAUACAGAAAACCGUCAAACCAUUUACUACAAAGUCCGUUUCUGGGUGGAGUUAGUGGAACCGAAAAAGAUGUCUCCCUCACAGCAUUUGUGACAAAAGAAUUGUAUCGUUCCUUGGCGGCCUUUCAACAGAAGAAUAUUCAGAGAUUUCCCGAGUGCUAAUCCCUUCAACAAAUGACAGAUUCUGAUGUUGGUUCCUGGAAAGCCUCCAUGGUUGGAGGACGAGAAGCCGUAUCCAAUUGAAGCAGCACAGGCUUCUGCGAUGACUGUGGAAACCACUGCUUAUGCCUUGCUUCAAGCGUUGUCAAGGAAUGAUAUUGACGAUGCAACACCGAUUGCGAGGUGGCCAACGAUGCAACAGAACUAUGGUGGUGGAUUUCACU